UGACCUCAGAAACAAGCAUGUUUGUUUCAUGUUCUAGCAUGAAAAUACAAGUAUUUAUGAAUUUCUUACCUAUUUCCCUCCCAGGGGAGAGAAUGGGAAGUGAGGGCCACUGGUGAACACUGAGUUAGAACAAAUGAGCAUUUAUAUGAGUAAUCCAAUUUACAUAAUGAAUCUGAUGGAAUCAUUGAAGAGUCUGCAGUUACUUUUCCCCAGGCUUUGUGAUCAAGGUGUUCAACCCCACUGGCAACUUCUCAACAAAAAACAGCAUUAAUUAGAUAUUCCCCUUUUCCCCUUGUGCUCCCAAGUCCUCCAUUAAGUUUAUGAAAGGGCUCCAGGUUUUCUAGGAGAAUAGAGAAUAUUGACUCUGCAAAUGUGCUUCUAAUUUGCUCCCCAGAUGAGCUCAGUUAGAACUCAGUCCCCUUUGAUGUUGCGCUACUAAAUGAAUGACAAGAAUGUCUAAUCUUUGAGUACAGCGUAUCCCAAAAUUUCUAUUAGGACUAUAGAAAACUUCUGAUUAUGACAACUCGGCAUUAAAAACUAACCCCCUUCUUGGUAUAUAUCCAAAGAAAAUAAAAUAUGGGUCUCAAAAUGAUAUCUGCACUCCAAUAUUCAUUGCAGUAUUAUUCACAGUAGACCAGAUACAUAAGCAACCUUAAGUUCUGUCAAUGGAUGAAUUGAAAUAAAUAAAAAUAGCCAAACUCACUGAGUUGAGAGUACAAUGGUGGUUGCUAUGGCAGGAGUGGUGCAGGGGAAAACGAGGAAGUGUUGGUCAAAGGGUACAAAGUUUCAGUAUGAAUGAGUUCUGGAGAUCGAAUGCACAACAUGCUGAGUAUAGUUAACAAUACUGUGUUGUAUACUUGAUAUUUUCUAAGAAGGUAGAUCUUAAGUAUUCUUACCACAUACACACAAAAAGAAUGGUAACUAU
Leopardus geoffroyi (Geoffroy's cat) is the source of this 925-nucleotide long non-coding RNA. RefSeq lists it as uncharacterized. Lineage: Eukaryota; Metazoa; Chordata; Mammalia; Carnivora; Felidae. The record is from RefSeq and is a predicted model, not a curated record. The transcript has 3 exons.